ACCACCCUGUUGUUACCCAAAGGGGCUGGCGGGGCUGGCAGGGAUGGUGGCAGGGGCCUGCAGCCAUGGGGAGGGCUGGUGGGGCCUGUGCUGGGCUUGGGUCUCUAAAAUCAAACACAAGCCCCUCCUUGACGUGUCCUGGGCACGUUCCCCACCACGUUCUGGCAGUGAGCAUCUCUGUACCUGGCUGUGCCCCCACCACCCUGCGUGGUCAUUUUGGGUGAAUUUAGCUGGAUAGCAGCAAAUCCUGAUACCUGCCUCCUUGUCUGGCUCGGGGGGUUGUAAUGACAUAUUUUUCUCAAGCACCUGAAGGAACUCCUGAGAUGGCUGUUCAGUGCUUCAGAAAACCAGGCCACGUCAUUCUGCGUGUAAACAUCGCCUCACUAACCUAAUUCUGGACCCAUUUUUGACAGCUGGCCUACACGAAAGCCCGUACUGUCAGCACGUCUCCUGGACUUCGAGUGAGCGCGGCAGAGGUGAGCCCCCGCAUCGGGGCAGCUCCCCCAGAUCUCACCACUCAUUGCAGGCGGAAACCUCGCUGUGCCAGGGCUUUGCAGCUCCAUGCCCUGCCUUGCUCCAGCACCAUACCCUCGGUGUGAUGUGCUGCAGCUGGGAACAGCUCCGUUUUUCACAAGGCAGAAGAAGGCAAGUGACAGGGAGCGGCACCGAUCUUCUUGCAUCCACCGCUGCAUCUCCAGGAUGUUUAGGUAAACACGGACAAAGAAAACCAUCCUCCUCGUCUGCAAAAUGGGGAUGAUGCUGAGCACCUCCAGCUGAAAAAGGUACCAAAGGAAUUUAAAUCCCGAAUUUAAAGCCGCACAACGAUGUUUUCCUUCGUUGGUAGAACUACUUCAGUUCCAGGUGACAUCCUCCAGGUGGAAGUGACUACAGAGAUCACUAUUUCAGUCUUGUGCUAAGCGCAGCUGUGAGCAGAACCUGCGUUUUAACAUGUUCCUGUAGUUCAGAUAAGAUGCAAAAGGCAUUUGCUGUGCUCAUCCCUGCUUCAGGAUCCCUGCCUCCAAGCGGACAGAUUUCUCAGGUAUUCAGGCCAGUUAUCUUCAAUUUUUAGUACUCAUAGUCAAAGUCAGAUUCCCAGAUACGUCCUUUUCUGUUGGGAAAACUAAUAAUUAGGAGUGUUUUGUAAGAGGCAGCUCUGUACAACACCUUACAGGGAGACUCAAAAAGGCUCCAUGUCCUGUGUGACCGUGUCCCCUGAGUUCCUCGGGCUAACUCCAUUUGCUCGUGAAUCCUUCAGGAAAUGGAAAUGCUGCUGCUGCCAGAGAGAUUUCUGUAAAUGGUUUAUGGAAGGCUGCUGGCGCCCAGGUGUGACUGCGCUCAUACAUUUCCUCUGAGGACCAGAUGCAGAGCACAAAGUUGGUCCAACAGAGACUUGCUGAGUCUUAGGAUUCAUGGAUGGGUCUCUGGCCACAUUGUCUUGAUGGUUGCAAGGUCUUCGUAAUUCCUGGGUUACUGAUGACUGCGUGCAUCUCGUUUAAUUUCACCAACCUCCUCUCUUAAAUACUGUGACACCUCCUAAUGCACAAGGGCAUUCGCUUUCAUCGCUCGCUCUUCAACAUAAGGUAAACACUGUGCUGAUCCACUUAAAAUAUAAAUAAGUGCUGCGUGCACUCUGUGGGGCGUGGAACAGAUGUUUGAAAGCACAGCUGUGAGACGCUCUUAUUUUUAGUCACUCUCAGCUUUUUAGAGCCUAAUAUCUCUCCCCGGUUAUGUUACAGCAUGCCUUCCAUCCCCAGAAGCUCCUCUUCGGCUGCUGCCCUGCACCAGGAGGGAGCCCUGUCCCGUUCCUGGCUUUGGCUCACCUCGCUGCCCGAGGAGCUGGGCUGAUGGGCUGGUGGGCAGCAGGAAGACUGGUCGUUGGCACAGGUUUGAGAUGUUGAAGCUAAAGCAAAGCAAAGCAAACCUUGAAUCAACCAGAGGAUCCUUAUGGGCACGUGGAGUCCUGUGCUGAAGUCAGUGCAGAUGUCUGGGCUGUUGGCGGAAGGCAUUUUCAUUCAAUGAACCAUAUGGAAGCCAAUGAAAAAGGUGUUGAUGUGCAGCGUGGAUGCUGAUUGAUAAAGCUGGCAGAUGGGGAGAUCAUCGGCUUUGAAGACUGUGAGGUUUCCUUUGAAACUAAGUAAAUAAGAUGGGCAGAACUAGAUGGCAAUGAGGAUGUGCAGCAUGGCUUCUUCCCUGCAUCAUCACCAAUUGCUCAGAAACCUAACAAAUUCAGAGUCAAAGAUGAAAAGUGAAAAACCCGUGAAGAUCAGACGGAGGGAUGGAAAUUAUCAUUCAGGUAACCCAGCUACCUUAACGCUGUCACCAUGGAGACCCCCGAUUAUCUCCUGCUCUUUGCAUGCAAAGUGCUGAGAAACACUGGUUUCAUAAUUGGCAUCAUAUUUCUCCGGGUAUAUUAAGCUUGCUUGUGGAAUGAGGCUCAUCAGGUUCUGAAUGAUUUCAGAUAACUAGCUGUAAUAUAUGGAAUCAGGUGAUUUGGCAUUCUGGUUUCCAAUCCAGGCAUUAUUCGAUGUGUGUCCAUGCCCAGUGCAAGCACGGGGAUCACCGUGGUGGUGCUAGGGGUGAAGCUGAGGCUCGGGGUCUCGGGCUGCUGAGAAGAUAGCAGCGGGUUUGGGGGAUGGCUCAAGUGGUACAACAGCCUGCUGGGGCUUUCUGUACAUUCCUUGUG
Molecule: long non-coding RNA, 2683 nt
Organism: Oxyura jamaicensis (ruddy duck)
Lineage: Eukaryota; Metazoa; Chordata; Aves; Anseriformes; Anatidae
Exons: 8
Source: RefSeq, a predicted model, not a curated record